UCUUCCAUACCGCUCUCUUGGUCCGGUGUCACCAAAUUGUGUCCGACUUUAUUUUCUCAAGGUUGCAUCAACUUCCGGGGUGCCUUAUCAGCAUAAGUUCGAGGGGUGUCUUUCAUCCACUACCAUUGAUCCCGGGAUCGUCCAACCGUUUCUCAUUACUCUGUACACACAAUAAACCACAAAAAAAACAAACAAAAUAAUACGACGAUAACAUAACAAAAAUAAA
RNAcentral lists this long non-coding RNA (226 nucleotides) under Lathyrus oleraceus (garden pea). Its description in RNAcentral is "Pisum sativum (pea) long non-coding RNA (PSAT_LNC001412)". The record is from RNAcentral. Lineage: Eukaryota; Viridiplantae; Streptophyta; Magnoliopsida; Fabales; Fabaceae.